RNAcentral lists this ribosomal RNA (482 nucleotides) under uncultured bacterium. RNAcentral describes it as "partial 16S ribosomal RNA". It matches the Rfam family "Bacterial small subunit ribosomal RNA", at positions 30 to 507 of the family's 1533-position model. The record is from RNAcentral.
AUUGAACGCUGGCGGCAUGCCUUACACAUGCAAGUCGAACGGUAACGGGCCUUCGGGUGCCGACGAGUGGCGAACGGGUGAGUAAUACAUCGGAACGUGCCCGAUCGUGGGGGAUAACGAGGCGAAAGCUUUGCUAAUACCGCAUACGAUCUACGGAUGAAAGCAGGGGACCGCAAGGCCUUGCGCGGACGGAGCGGCCGAUGGCAGAUUAGGUAGUUGGUGGGAUAAAAGCUUACCAAGCCGACGAUCUGUAGCUGGGCUGAGAGGAUGAUCAGCCACACUGUGACUGAGACACGGCCCAGACUCCUACGGGAGGCAGCAGUGGGGAAUUUUGGACAAUGGGCGCAAGCCUGAUCCAGCCAUGCCGCGUGCAGGAUGAAGGCCUUCGGGUUGUAAACUGCUUUUGUACGGAACGAAAAGCCUUCUUUUAAUACAGGAGGGUCAUGACGGUACCGUAAGAAUAAGCACCGGCUAACUACGUG